UUGAGAUUUCCUUUCUAUGUACAUUGUAACUCCGUGACGAAGCAUGCGGCGUGAGGGAAGCAUCUUUUCAAAGCGUCGUAUUCGUUCACUGUUGUGUGUCGCUUUAGAGCAACGUGAUCAGUGGUUUGUAGACGUGAUGACGUCAGACUUCGAGGCACAAGCCGAGAGCGCGUUUAAAGCCGAGUAGGGCGUGAAAGUGUGUGUCGUGCCGCUCGUUUUCCUCCUAGUUCUUUUAAUCUAUUCCAUCCACGAAUAUGUGCAAAUAGCAGCGUGUGCCUCCGUAAAGUUACGGGACAAUUAUGUUCGGUGCUGUUUUAAUGUGAUUGAUAGUGAAAAGGAUACCAUGUUCCGCUGCAUUCCGAUUUUUAAAGGGUGUAACAGGCAGGUGGAAUACGUUGACAAGCGUCAUUGCUCUCUGGUGAGCGUCCCCGAUGAUAUUUUACGAUAUUCGAGAAGCUUGGAGGAACUUCUGUUGGACGCGAAUCACAUCAGUGAUCUACCGAAGAAUUUCUUCCGGUUACAAAGGCUACGAAAACUCGGCUUGAGUGACAAUGACAUUCAUCGCUUGCCACCAGAUAUUCAGAACUUCGAAAACCUCGUGGAGUUGGAUGUAUCCAGGAAUGAUAUACCAGACAUUCCUGAGAACAUCAAGAAUUUACGGGCACUUCAGGUGGCGGACUUUAGUAGUAAUCCAAUUCCAAGGCUCCCAGCAGGUUUUGUGCAGCUAAGGAACUUGACUGUUCUCGGACUGAACGAUAUGUCCCUCACGAAUCUACCACCUGAUUUCGGAAGUUUAGAGGCAUUGCAGUCGUUGGAGUUGAGAGAAAAUUUGCUCAAAACCUUGCCGGAAUCGCUGUCGAAACUUUAUAAAUUAGAGCGGUUGGAUCUCGGUGACAAUGACAUCGAUGUUCUGCCAGCACACAUAGGGAAAUUACCAGCAUUGCAGGAAUUGUGGUUGGAUCAUAAUCAGCUGCAACAUUUACCACCUGAACUUGGGCAACUGAAAACGUUGGCGUGUUUAGAUGUCUCGGAGAAUCGUUUAGAAGAUCUUCCGGAAGAGAUCGGAGGUUUAGAAUCCUUAACGGACUUACACUUAUCGCAGAAUGUUAUCGAAAAAUUGCCUGAUGGACUUGGAGAACUUAAAAAACUGACCAUUCUUAAAGUUGAUCAGAAUAGGCUUUCUACAUUAAAUCCAAAUAUAGGCAGUUGUGAAAAUCUUCAGGAAUUAAUUCUCACGGAAAAUUUUCUCUUCGAACUGCCUUCGACUAUAGGAAAACUUCUUAAUUUAAAUAAUUUAAACGUAGACAGAAAUAGUUUACAAUCGCUUCCUACAGAGAUUGGGAAUUUAAAACAGUUGGGUGUACUAUCUCUAAGAGAUAACAAAUUGCAAUAUCUUCCAGUUGAAGUUGGGCAAUGUACUGCCCUCCAUGUGUUAGAUGUAUCUGGCAACAGAUUACAGUACUUGCCAUAUUCCUUGAUCAAUUUGAACUUAAAGGCAGUAUGGUUAAGUGAAAAUCAAGCACAACCAAUGCUUAUUUUCCAAACAGAUAUCGACGAAGAAACUGGACAAGAAGUAUUAACAUGUUUCCUCCUGCCACAAUUAGAAAUCCAUCCUGAUGAUUCGGGAAGACUUGGUAUGCUAGUUGGUAUGAGAAAUGCUGUCCAAGGUGAAGUACGUGAAGCAGGUAGCAGUGAGGAUGAAGAAUGGCAAGAAAAAGAAGCAUCACGAACGCACUCUGUUAAAUUUACAGACGAACCUCCAGAAACUGAUAAGGAGACACCAUUUGUACGACAAAAUACUCCUCAUCCUAAAGAGUUGAAAGCGAAAGCUCAUAAAUUAUUCAGUAAAGGAAAGAAUGACAGCCGAUCAGCGUCUACGGAAGAACAGGAUGUUUCUCAAACAUUUGGUUUAGAUAAAACUGAGACUGAUAUCGUAACAAAAUCUAGUGAUACAGUAGAAGAUUCUACAGAAUUAGAACCAGAGAAACCUGAGUCUGUAGAAAAUGAACAAACACAAAUUGUACCUGGAACAUUGACUAAUAAUACAGAUCUCCAGUCUAGUAAUGAACCAGAAGUAGUUUGUAAUCAAUACGUUGCAGAACCUAGUGCUGAGGUCAGAACUGAUGGUUCAGUUACUGAAUCAAAGGAAAAGAGUGAAAAGGAGGAUGAUGAAUCGGAAAGCGAGGAAACUCAAAGACACGUAGAAUUUUCUAUAACAGAGGGUACUGAUUAUGAGGGUGGUGGCGAUUCAAAUAGACCAAAUAGGCUUCAUCGUAGAGACACUCCACAUCAUUUGAAAAAUAAACGUAUCCAUACAGCAGUGGACAAAGAAAAAGUUGCUUCCAUUAUUGCCCAAGCACUUAUGAAAAAAACUGAUGACACUCCCGCACCCACGUCAGCGCCCACAGAACCCACGGAAAAUUUUGACACCCAAAGUCAAGGCGCCACAUCCGACGCUGAACCAACAAUAGAAGUACGAGAAGAACAAUAUGAAAUUCAUAUCGAAAGAACGACAGGCGGACUUGGUUUGUCGAUCGCUGGUGGAAUCGGUUCAACCCCUUUUAAGGGGGACGAUGAAGGCAUUUUUAUUUCUAGAGUUACUGAAGGCGGACCUGCAGAUUUGGCUGGUUUAAAAGUGGAAGAUAAAGUACUGUCCGUGAACGGUGUUUCGGUAGUAAAUGUAGGUCAUUACGAUGCCGUAGAAGUUUUGAAAGCAUGUGGGCGUGUUCUUGUGUUAGUAGUUCAAAGAGAAGUUACGAGGAUAGUACCGCCGUAUGAACAGGGAUCAUCUAGAAAAGAUUCGGCAUGCUCCAGUCUCAGUACCAGUAGAGCACCGAGUGCAACGUCUCAUGUUUCAUCCACGGGUUUACCGCAUAAUUUAGAAAACGGAGAUGCUUUACCUCAGGACACUAUUAAGCCCAAGAAAAUUCCAGAACCUAUAUCCUCGACAAAGGCAGGGAGUGAACCAAUGGUAUCUGUUCUUGUUCAUACAACAUUAAUACGGGACCAAAAUGGGCUUGGAUUUAGUAUCGCUGGUGGAGAAGGCUCUCCUCCAUUUAAAGACAAUAGUGAUGCGAUAUACAUUUCAAGGAUAACUGAUGGUGGUGUGGCACAGAAAGAUGGUAAAUUAUUAGUUGGGGACAAAGUAAUAUCUAUUAAUGGUGUAGAAAUGAGAGGUGCUAAGCACGAACAAGCAGUUGCCUUGUUAACAGGCUUGGAAAGAUUCGUUCGAUUGGUAGUCGAACGUGAUAUUCCACUUUCCCAAGCAAACGCAGCCACGGUUGUAACACCUUCAGAAAAGUCACCGCGUGUUAUUGGUGCACCUAAACCAUACACAGGGCUAUAUAAUGCCAAUAGUUACAUUGCAAAUAGGCCAGGAUAUACUAGCUAUCGACGCUCCGUCGAUGCUGAUAGAACUUUAUCCCCGAGUCCUACUUCAAAAACACCUCCGCCCAUGAAAAUUGAAACCACUGAGAUGACUAAAAUGAACGGCGUUACAGAAACAGGAAGUGUUAAAAAUGUCUCAUCGAUAUCGCCAAGUCCGACAAAUAGUCAACCUCAUCCACAACCUGCUCCGAGGCAUAGUAUUUCGCAGCCGACGAUUACACCCACGACAACUGCAAGCUCGACGCCUACCUCUUCUACAGAGCCUAGGUCGACCUCACCCCAGGAAGAUAUACAGGUACCGAAGCCUAUCACCAACGAGGAAUUUCAGGCUAUGAUCCCUGCUCAUUUCCUCCGUCCUACCUCCUCACCAUCGCCAGACCCCCAUCAAGGCCCUAUCGUGACAGUGACAAUAAAACAGCCUGAUAAUCUACCUGGGGAUGUUAAUUUUCCUCCGGCCCCUACUACUCUUGGUAAAGUUACUGAGACCAUCACAAAGAGCACUCUCACCGAGACCGUCGUAACUAGGGUGACCGAAAAUCAAUUGGUACCACCAGUAAUCAUUGAGGAUGUAGUUCUUGUGAAAGAAGGAUCAUUAGGAUUCAGUAUUAUUGGUGGUACAGAUCAUUCUUGUACACCAUUUGGUGCAAAAGAACCAGGAAUUUUCAUAUCACAUGUUGUGCCUGGUGGUAUAGCUGCAAAGUCUGGUAAAUUAAGGAUGGGUGACAGAAUACUGAAGGUAAAUGGUACUGAUGUAACGAAAGCUACUCAUCAAGAAGCUGUAAUGGAACUUUUACGACCAGGAGAUCAAAUUGUGCUUACUGUUCAACAUGAUCCAUUACCAGAAAAUUAUCAGCUGGUCGAAAUAGAGUACAUCCCUGUGACAGAAUUGGUUAUAACGAAAGAACCAGGUGAAAAAUUGGGAAUGCACAUAAAGGGUGGACUUCGAGGACAAAAGGGUAAUCCCCUUGAUCAUACGGACGAAGGAGUUUUUAUAUCUAAAAUAAAUUCUGGCGGUGCGGCUAAAAGAGACGGAAGACUGAAGGUUGGAAUGAGACUCUUGGAAGUCAAUGGCACAUCAUUACUAGGUGCAACUCACCAAGAAGCAGUAAAUAUACUGAGGUGUUCAGGAAACACAAUUACCUUAGUAGUUUGUAAAGGUUAUGAUAAAAACGAGGUUGAACCAAUAUUCCCCGUAUCCGACGGAAGGGAUUCUAAAGAAUCUAGAACAUCUAAGGAAUUCAAAGAUCCUGCAGCCGAUGGUACUAAAUCUUUAUCGCAAAGUGUAUCCAGUUUAGAUCGUGACGACGAAGAAGCAGCAACGCUCAGACAAGAGCAGGAAAUGAAAGCCGAGCUUGUAGCAUGGGAACAAGAAGAAAGGGAGCGUGCUUUGUUAGAACACAGAGAAAAGUCUACUCCUGAAAAAGUAUUAGAUGUAGUAAGAGCAGCCGAAUCAUUAGUAAGCAAGUCGAAUAGUCCCGUCGACAUGGUUCCACCAAAAUCACCAGGUGGCACUAAAGAUCUCAAAACGACUACCAUUGUAAUGAGCAAACACACUUUAGCACCUCAGAAUACAAAUUCACUAAGGAAAGAGAGAGCUGUUACACCAGUGGACAAUCCGUCGCUUCAGUCUCCGGUCUCUACUCUUACUCCAUCAAAGAAUUUCGAUCGUAAUACUACUGUUCAAACCUUGCCCUCUCCGAGGAAAAAAAGUUCUGCACCAAAGCGUAGCAUUACGUUCGCCGAUCUUCCUCCCAUUUCCAAAGAAGAAUCAACUAAUUAUCCCUAUUCGCCUAAAAUUAAAGAAGAACGGCCAUCAUCCUUGCAUGACAAAUUUACUUCAGAUCCACACAUUUUUUCUUAUAAGAAAGUUUAUCAAAGUCCUACCCAGACUGUUCAUUCUCGUUUCAAACUUCCUCCAACGCCUUUAACUUCUCCUAAGUCCAUAGAAGAUCUUGGCACUUCGGCUUCUUUUAGCAAACGACAGAACGCACGCUCUGUUGAUGGGAAUAUUCAGGUUGAGUCUUCGCCAACACCAUCACCACCUCCACCUGUAGUAAAGAUGUCUGUUAGCGACAAAAAGAAGUUAUUUGAAAGUGCCAUGGAAGAGCAUCUGAAACCUUCACCUAAACCAGAAAAAGUAUUCAGUUUUCUAAGUCAGGAUGAAGUGGAAAAAAUGAAGCAAGAAGAAGAAAAAAAGAUUGCCACAUUAACGCGAGAUGAAUUAAAAUCAUGGGCUCAACUCGAUGAAAAUGAAGGUUUAGAAGAUUUGGAGGAAACGCUAGAAGAUCAGGAUAACCGGCGACCUAAUAGCCGACUGAGCUCGCGAAGUUCGAUCCCCCUUCUGCAGAACCUUCCAAGCAGUGUAAGGACAGCAAAAGCAGAACGUCGCUUGAAGGAGAGACUGGUACAGGAGGGUAUAAUUUCGGACGAAGACGAAGAAAGCCAUUUAAGUCCUGCCGAACAGAGAGCUUUAAGAGCAGAGAAACGUGCAGCUUGGAGACAAGCGCGUUUGAAGUCUCUUGAACAGGAUGCUCUUCAAGCGCAGAUAGUAAUAAAAAAAAUGAGCGAAAUGAUGGAUACUGCGAAUAAAACAGACGCACCGCAAGAUUCUACAGAUUCCGUCACUCCUGUUCCUGAACCAGAAAAGACGGCUGAUUUUACUACGUUACGGCCGUCUAGUGCAGAUUUUCCCAAACUUGCUGUACGCAGCAAAGUGGGUCCCCCUAAAGAGAUCCGCGAAUCCGAAAAAGUAGUGGACGAGAAGGUCACUCGGCGUACCGAGGAAUAUGUGGAUGAGGUGACGGGUGAACGUCGUGUACGAACAGUUGAAUACGUCGAGAAGCUCAUUGAGCGGCAGAAUCCAACACUGAUCAUGGAAGUGCAACCUGCACCACCUUGAGCAAUUGAUUUCAUUUCCACUGACCACUAACAAACUCUUCUCACACUAUUGGUUGAAACUCUGCGAGAAAAGAUUAUAUCACUGGAAUUAAGUAAUGCUGAAGACGAUGUAGAAAGUAUUACUGGCACUGGAGCAAGCGACGC
Molecule: unclassified non-coding RNA, 6429 nt
Filed under: Megachile rotundata (alfalfa leafcutting bee)
Lineage: Eukaryota; Metazoa; Arthropoda; Insecta; Hymenoptera; Megachilidae
Description: protein lap4, transcript variant X8
Source: RNAcentral